RNAcentral lists this ribosomal RNA (561 nucleotides) under uncultured bacterium. RNAcentral describes it as "bacterial SSU rRNA". It matches the Rfam family "Bacterial small subunit ribosomal RNA", at positions 338 to 916 of the family's 1533-position model. The record is from RNAcentral.
CCUACGGGAGGCAGCAGUCGGGAAUUUUGGGCAAUGGGCGAAAGCCUGACUCAGCAACGCUGCGUGAAGGAUGAAGUAUUUCGGUAUGUAAACUUCGUAAAAAUGGGAAGAAUAAAUGACGGUACCAUUUGUAAGGUCCGGCUAACUACGUGCCAGCAGCCGCGGUAAUACGUAGGGACCAAGCGUUGUUCGGAUUUACUGGGCGUAAAGGGCGCGUAGGCGGCGCGACAAGUCACUUGUGAAAUCUCCGGGCUUAACCCGGAACGGUCAAGUGAUACUGCUGUGCUAGAGUGUAGAAGGGGCAAUCGGAAUUCUUGGUGUAGCGGUGAAAUGCGUAGAUAUCAAGAGGAACACCAGAGGCGAAGGCGGAUUGCUGGGCUAAUACUGACGCUGAGGCGCGAAAGCUAGGGUAGCAAACGGGAUUAGAUACCCCGGUAGUCCUAGCCCUAAACGAUGAAUACUUGGUGUCUGGAGUUUAAUUCUCUGGGUGCCGUCGCUAACGUUUUAAGUAUUCCGCCUGGGGAGUACGCACGCAAGUGUGAAACUCAAAGGAAUUGACGG